Molecule: ribosomal RNA, 371 nt
Filed under: uncultured organism
Description: bacterial SSU rRNA
Rfam family: Bacterial small subunit ribosomal RNA
Source: RNAcentral
CAGAGGGGGCAAGCGUUAUUCGGAAUUAUUGGGCGUAAAGGGCGCGUAGGCGGCCUAGCAAGUGACGGGUGAAAUCCCUCGGCUUAACCGAGGAACUGCCUGUCAGACUGCUGGGCUUGAGACCGGGAGAGGUGAGUGGAAUUCCCAGUGUAGCGGUGAAAUGCGUAGAUAUUGGGAGGAACACCAGUGGCGAAGGCGGCUCACUGGACCGGUACUGACGCUGAGGCGCGAAAGCGUGGGGAGCAAACAGGAUUAGAUACCCUGGUAGUCCACGCCGUAAACGAUGAGUGCUUGGUGUAGCGGGUAUCGACCCCUGCUGUGCCGAAGUCAACACAUUAAGCACUCCGCCUGGGGAUACGGUCGCAAGACUG